RNAcentral lists this ribosomal RNA (255 nucleotides) under uncultured bacterium. RNAcentral describes it as "partial 16S ribosomal RNA". It matches the Rfam family "Bacterial small subunit ribosomal RNA", at positions 524 to 776 of the family's 1533-position model. The record is from RNAcentral.
UACGUAGGGGGCGAGCGUUGUCCGGAUUUAUUGGGCGUAAAGAGCUCGUAGGCGGUUUGGCAAGUCGGGUGUGAAAACUCCGGGCUCAACUCGGAGACGCCACUCGAUACUGCCAUGACUCGAGUCCGGUAGGGGCGGAGGGAAUUCUCGGUGGAGCGGUGAAAUGCAUAGAUAUCGGGAAGAACACCAACGGCGAAAGCACUCCGCUGGGCCGAAAACUGACACUGACAGACGAGAGCUAGGGGAGCGAAUGGG